Molecule: long non-coding RNA, 350 nt
Organism: Rana temporaria (common frog)
Lineage: Eukaryota; Metazoa; Chordata; Amphibia; Anura; Ranidae
Exons: 2
Source: RefSeq, a predicted model, not a curated record
UACAUAGUCUGCCAAUCAGCUGCGAGGGGGCGUUGGCUUAGUGCGUCACUCUGACCGAAGGCUCAGUCUGCGGUUAGCCCAGCUAGAGGAGCUGCACGAUUCGUCUGUUCUCCGUCACGCCCACCUUGAUGUCUUCCUAAGGAACACCUAUGACCGGGGUACAUAGUGAUCAUGAUGGACCUGCAGACAACUCUGUCCUCUCUGGAUUUCAGCAAGCUCUUCAAAGGACAAAACUUCAAGCUUUUCGGAUGAGAAGAAUUACAAACAAGUGUUGCUGAAUGAAAUUCUACCUGUACUGUAAACCUGCUGUUUUUAGAGUGAUAUUAAACGCUAAUAGUUUUAUUUUUUAA